UACGUAGGGUGCGAGCGUUGUCCGGAAUUAUUGGGCGUAAAGAGCUCGUAGGCGGUGUGUCGCGUCGGCCGUGAAAACCUGGGGCUUAACUCUGGGCGUGCGGUCGAUACGGGCAUCACUAGAGUUCGGCAGGGGAGACUGGAAUUCCUGGUGUAGCGGUGAAAUGCGCAGAUAUCAGGAGGAAUACCGAUGGCGAAGGCAGGCCUCUGGGCUGACACUGACGCUGAGGAGCGAAAGCGUGGGGAGCGAACAGG
This 254-nucleotide ribosomal RNA is filed under the name uncultured bacterium. Its description in RNAcentral is "partial 16S ribosomal RNA". It matches the Rfam family "Bacterial small subunit ribosomal RNA", at positions 524 to 776 of the family's 1533-position model. The record is from RNAcentral.